UGCAUCGGCCGGGAAUCGAACCCUGGCCGCCCGCGUGGCAGGCGAGCAUUCUACCACUGGACCACCGAUGC
This 71-nucleotide transfer RNA is filed under the name Cordylochernes scorpioides. RNAcentral's name for it is "tRNA-Gly". The record is from RNAcentral. Lineage: Eukaryota; Metazoa; Arthropoda; Arachnida; Pseudoscorpiones; Chernetidae.